Felis catus (domestic cat) is the source of this 1687-nucleotide long non-coding RNA. RefSeq lists it as uncharacterized. NCBI's taxonomy places the organism in Eukaryota, Metazoa, Chordata, Mammalia, Carnivora, Felidae. The record is from RefSeq and is a predicted model, not a curated record. The transcript has 3 exons.
CAAAGCAGGAUAUUGAUGUGCUGUGCUCGGGCUGCGCCCCAGGCUGUCCACUCCGUGUUAACAGCGUUCUUCCUCUUGCCAUAAUUAGCACCUCAAUUUUUUGUCCCACUUCCGACCCCGCCCCCUAGCCAUUGGAAAUUCGCAGACUGGAAAUUGAUCAGAACUUCAGUUGCUGAGAUAACACAUGGUGCUUUUUAAUCUGUCAGCCUCCCCUUUGUUCUUUCAGGACUGGCUGGUUGCCCUGCCUCCUCCAAGCGGUGCCUGGCAGGGGUCUGCCAAGGAGGUCGACUGAGCAGACGGGACGGCUGUGAUCCGUGGGUUGACGAUUCACAAGCCCAAGUCUCUCUCCCAAGCCCUAGAAUGUUGUAUCCCACUGCAUCCUGGGCAGAUGCACCCCCGAGCCCCUCAUCUUCCCCCAAAGCUGCCUUCCGGAUGCCUGUCUCGGGGAAUGGCAAUCACCCAAGUGCAGAGGCUGGGAAUUGCCCCGAUCUCUCCCCAUCUCCCUGACUUCCAGCUGGCCUCUGGAUUCUACGUGCCGACAGCUCAAAAACCUGUCCCCUCCUCUCUUGCCCUGCGGCCAUGGCCCCAACUCAGACCUCUACAUCCCUUGUGCAGACUCCCCACUCCCCGCUAUGGCCUCCCACGAGGCUCCUUGCCUCCAGCCCUUGGAUCCACUGCAGCCAGAGCUCUCGAGCACGACCCACUGGCUCAUCCUUGCCACCACUCAGCCCCCAGUCCCUCUUUCCUUUCUUGCUCUCAUUUCAUUUCAUCUCAUUUCAUUUCAUUGCUCUCUUGCUCACGGCUUCCCAGACACCGUUCUCCCUCUGGUCCCUGAGCCUUUGAAUAUAUUGUUCCCCCAGCGUGGGAGGCUCUCCCCACCCCGCCUUCUGGGCGCCACACAUUUAUUGCUCCUGAAUACCCACGUAGUCUCCCGCAUUUCCCAGCCCUCCUUGCAAGUCAGACUGGCCACGUGAUGAGUUCUGGCCAACGGAUAGAAGAGCAGGUGGGAGCUCCAUGUGCUCGGUGGUGAGGCGGUGGACCGACCCCAGGCGGAAGCAGCCUCCGUCACUGAGUCCUUACAACAGCCGGAUGUUGAGUCUCUGGACGUGCAGAGCCUGGGUGUGAACAAGAAUAAAUCCGAAGUGUCAAACCCCCGAGAUUUGAGGGUUGGGGUGACUGCAGCCGAGGCCCAGCCCCUCUGGACGGAUGGUCUGGGAUUGGAAAAUGCACGACCAAAGGCCAUCAAAAGAGACAGAAGAGAGGGCCCUUCUUUUUCCUCUCGUCUCUGUCGACCCAGAGCUGGGAGCAAUGGAGAACAGAUAGAAAAUGUGCUGGUAGAUGGACGGAUGGACGGAUGGACAGGAAACAACAGGGGAGAUCACAGAAGCCCGGAGCCCAGGAAGUACCAGUGUGGGGACUUCAGAGAAUAGAACAGAUCCCAAAAUUGGGACUUUGGUCUCACGCACGCAACUCAGACGAGCCACGCGGCCUGAGGCAGCCGCCUACUGUAGCUUGAAUGCUCAUUAAACGUUUGGUAAAUGGACCACCGGCUGUUCUGUGCCCUCACGGGACACUUGUGUGGCAUCAUCCCAAAAUCUCUUCGACGUCUCCGCUGGAGAAAGCACGUGCAGUCAGACGUACCUGGGUUGAUACCGUGGCUCUGCCAUUUCCGAUUGGGUGACCAUGA